RNAcentral lists this ribosomal RNA (468 nucleotides) under uncultured bacterium. RNAcentral describes it as "partial 16S ribosomal RNA". It matches the Rfam family "Bacterial small subunit ribosomal RNA", at positions 28 to 507 of the family's 1533-position model. The record is from RNAcentral.
GACGAACGCUGGCGGCGUGCUUAACACAUGCAAGUCGAACGAUGAAAGAGGAGCUUGCUCCUCUGGCUUAGUGGCGAACGGGUGAGUAACACGUGAGCAAUCUGCCCCUGACUUCGGAAUAACUACAGGAAACUGUAGCUAAUACCGGAUAUGCGCCGAACAGGCAUCUGUAUCGGUGGGUAAUAAUUUCGGUCAGGGAUGAGCUCGCGGACUAUCAGCUUGUUGGUGAGGGAGCGGCUCACCAAGGCGACGACGGGUAGCCGGCCUGAGAGGGUGAACGGCCACAUUGGGACUGAGACACGGCCCAGACGCCAACGGGAGGCAGCAGUGGGGAAUAUGGCACAAUGGGCGCAAGCCUGAUGCAGCAACGCCGCGUGAGGGAUGACGGCCUUCGGGUUGUAAACCUCUGUUAGCAGGGAAGAAGCGAAAGUGACGGUACCUGCAGAAAAAGCGCCGGCUAACUACGUG